UACGUAGGGUGCGAGCGUUAAUCGGAAUUACUGGGCGUAAAGCGUGCGCAGGCGGUUUUGUAAGCCAGGUGUGAAAUCCCCGGGCUCAACCUGGGAAUGGCAUUUGGGACUGCAAGGCUGGAGUGCGGCAGAGGAGACUGGAAUUCCUGGUGUAGUAGUGAAAUGCGUAGAUAUCAGGAGGAACACCGAUGGCGAAGGCAGGUCUCUGGGCUGACACUGACGCUCAUGCACGAAAGCGUGGGGAGCAAACAGG
This 253-nucleotide ribosomal RNA is filed under the name uncultured bacterium. RNAcentral describes it as "partial 16S ribosomal RNA". It matches the Rfam family "Bacterial small subunit ribosomal RNA", at positions 524 to 776 of the family's 1533-position model. The record is from RNAcentral.